UAUUAGGCUUCGGGGGAUACUGCCAGACUUGGAACCGGGAGAGGUAAGAGGUACUACAGGGGUAGGAGUGAAAUCUUGUAAUCCCUGUGGGACCACCUGUGGCGAAGGCGUCUUACCAGAACGGGUUCGACGGUGAGGGACGAAAGCUGGGGGCACGAACCGGAUUAGAUACCCGGGUAGUCCCAGCCGUAAACGAUGCUCGCUAGGUGUCAGGCAUGGCGCGACCGUGUCUGGUGCCGCAGGGAAGCCGUGAAGCGAGCCACCUGGGAAUACGGCCGCAAGGCUGAACUUAAGGAAUUGCGGGGAGCACAACAACGGGUGGAGCCUGCCGGUUUAAUUGGACUCAACGCCGGACAACUCACCGGGGGCGACAGCAAUAUGUAGGCCAAGCUGAAGACUUUGCCUGAAUCGCUGAGAGGAGAAGAGGUGCAUGG
RNAcentral lists this ribosomal RNA (434 nucleotides) under uncultured archaeon. RNAcentral's name for it is "bacterial SSU rRNA". It matches the Rfam family "Archaeal small subunit ribosomal RNA", at positions 564 to 997 of the family's 1478-position model. The record is from RNAcentral.